GUUUGGUGUUCUUCUUCUGUUGGGUGGCAGAGGGUUUCCUUUCCUCCUGCUCCUCAGGUUCAGGUGCCGGGGGGUCCCUCUGGUCGGCGUCUGAGCUGCCGCUGCUGGUACUGGGGCUCUCAUCGUCCGACCUCUGCCUGUCACUGGACAUCGUGGGGAACUUCGCCGGCGUCCUGUCCCGCUGCUGGGUCGGAGGGGCGGGAUGGCGGGGGGCCGGGCCGGGCCCGCGGCGCCCGAGGAGGGGACGGAGGCGGCCGGGGGGCUCUACGGCGGCGGCGGCGGCUCUGUGGCCGGGCGGUGUGGAACAUUGAGAGCCGGAGCAGGGGGGGACGGG
Molecule: long non-coding RNA, 334 nt
Filed under: Gallus gallus (chicken)
Lineage: Eukaryota; Metazoa; Chordata; Aves; Galliformes; Phasianidae
Source: RNAcentral